ACAUGCAAGUCGAACGAUGACCCGGUGCUUGCACCGGUGAUUAGUGGCGAACGGGUGAGUAACACGUGAGUAACCUGCCCUUGACUUUGGGAUAAGCCUGGGAAACUGGGUCUAAUACCGGAUAUGACUCCUCAUCGCAUGGUGGGGGGUGGAAAGCUUUUUGUGGUUUUGGAUGGACUCGCGGCCUAUCAGCUUGUUGGUGAGGUAAUGGCUUACCAAGGCGACGACGGGUAGCCGGCCUGAGAGGGUGACCGGCCACACUGGGACUGAGACACGGCCCAGACUCCUACGGGAGGCAGCAGUGGGGAAUAUUGCACAAUGGGCGCAAGCCUGAUGCAGCGACGCCGCGUGAGGGAUGACGGCCUUCGGGUUGUAAACCUCUUUCAGUAGGGAAGAAGCGAAAGUGACGGUACCUGCAGAAGAAGCGCCGGCUAACUACGUGCCAGCAGCCGCGGUAAUACGUAGGGCGCAAGCGUUAUCCGGAAUUAUUGGGCGUAAAGAGCUCGUAGGCGGUUUGUCGCGUCUGCCGUGAAAGUCCGGGGCUCAACUCCGGAUCUGCGGUGGGUACGGGCAGACUAGAGUGAUGUAGGGGAGACUGGAAUUCCUGGUGUAGCGGUGAAAUGCGCAGAUAUCAGGAGGAACACCGAUGGCGAAGGCAGGUCUCUGGGCAUUAACUGACGCUGAGGAGCGAAAGCAUGGGGAGCGAACAGGAUUAGAUACCCUGGUAGUCCAUGCCGUAAACGUUGGGCACUAGGUGUG
RNAcentral lists this ribosomal RNA (759 nucleotides) under Micrococcaceae bacterium. Its description in RNAcentral is "bacterial SSU rRNA". It matches the Rfam family "Bacterial small subunit ribosomal RNA", at positions 53 to 824 of the family's 1533-position model. The record is from RNAcentral. Lineage: Bacteria; Bacillati; Actinomycetota; Actinomycetes; Micrococcales; Micrococcaceae.